GAAAUGCGAUAAGUAGUGUGAAUUGCAGAAUUCAGUGAAUCAUCGAAUCUUUGAACGCACAUUGCGCCCUUUGGUAUUCCUUAGGGCAUGCCCGUUCGAGCGUCAUCUAAACCUUCAAGCCCUGCUUGGUGUUGGGUGCCUGUCCCGCCUCCGCGCGCGGACUCACCUCAAAUCCAUUGGCGGCCCCCGCGUCGGCCACGAGCGCAGCAGAAACGCGAACUCGUGAGCCCGUCCGGGCGGCUCCCAGAAGCUACACCCACCCAGUUUGACCUCGGAUCAGGUAGGGAUACCCGCUGAACUUAAGC
Molecule: unclassified non-coding RNA, 305 nt
Filed under: plant metagenome
Description: partial contains 5.8S ribosomal RNA, internal transcribed spacer 2, and large subunit ribosomal RNA
Rfam family: 5.8S ribosomal RNA (bases 1-105)
Source: RNAcentral